Anopheles arabiensis is the source of this 468-nucleotide long non-coding RNA. RefSeq lists it as uncharacterized. The transcript is spliced from 2 exons. The record is from RefSeq and is a predicted model, not a curated record. Lineage: Eukaryota; Metazoa; Arthropoda; Insecta; Diptera; Culicidae.
CUUUCGUUGAACUGUGAAGUGUUAGUGGCAUGGUUCCUAGUGAGUGUGUGAGGAUAUUCGGAAUAGUUUGUGCGUAUUCGUAGAUCAAUCUCUGCAAUCAUUUCUCUCUUCAACUCAUUUAGUAGACACUUUGGAUGGAAAGCCUGUUUGCACGAAGAGAUGUUCAAGUUACCGCCACAUAUGAUAACUGCUUCCUCGGUGUCCAGUGAGCAAAUCCGGCAGUGAGUCAUGGUGAAUUGACGAGCAAUAGCACGACGCAGAGCACGACAAAAACAGGAAAUUAUACCCGAAACAGACCGAUUUUAAUGCCACUAAUCAAGUGUUACAGCACACCACUGCAGCCAACUCUUUACUUUCAGAAUCCUCAAACUAGUGAAUACUACAAGCGCGAUCACAACAACGCAAAUAUUAUCUGAUUUGUACGGAGCAAACUCAAGCACGACCGUUCACCGCAAACGUCAAACGCAG